UCCUACGGGGAGCAGCAGUAAGGAAUAUUGGGCAAUGGACGCAAGUCUGACCCAGCCAUGCCGCGUGCAGGAUGACAGCCUUAUGGGUUGUAAACUGCUUUUAUCAGGGAAUAACCCCCCGUWCGUGUACGGGGCUGAAUGUACCUGAAGAAUAAGCAUCGGCUAACUCCGUGCCAGCAGCCGCGGUAAUACGGAGGAUGCAAGCGUUAUCCGGAUUUAUUGGGUUUAAAGGGUGCGCAGGCGGAUAAGUAAGUCAGUGGUGAAAUCUCUCGGCUCAACCGAGAAACUGCCAUUGAUACUGUUUAUCUUGAGUGUAAAUGAAGUGGGCGGAAUGUAGCAUGUAGCGGUGAAAUGCAUAGAUAUGMUACAGAACACCAAUUGCGAAGGCAGCUCACUAAAUUACAACUGACGCUCAUGCACGAAAGCGUGGGGAUCAAACAGGAUUAGAUACCCUGGUAGUCCACGCUGUAAACGAUGAUU
This 480-nucleotide ribosomal RNA is filed under the name uncultured bacterium. RNAcentral's name for it is "bacterial SSU rRNA". It matches the Rfam family "Bacterial small subunit ribosomal RNA", at positions 337 to 814 of the family's 1533-position model. The record is from RNAcentral.